UUAGUUUUAUUCCGGUUUUGCCAUCAAGAGGUAAUACGGUUUGAACGGAUCCUUUUCCAAAACUCUUUGUACCAAGGAUUAUAGCUCUUUUAUUAUCUUUUAAUGCCCCAGCGACAAUUUCUGAAGCAGAGGCAGAACCAUUAUUAAUUAAGACAACGAUAGGCGCAUUGUCUAACACAUCCCCUGGAUUGGCCAGGGCGGUGAAUUUAGAACCAGGUAGUCUGCCUUCCGUAUAGACUAUCAUUUCUUGCUUACCUGCCUUGUCAUUGCCAAGAAAAGCAUCGGAUACCUGGAUAGCUGAAUCAAGUAAACCCCCGGGGUUAUUUCUUAA
This 331-nucleotide non-coding RNA is filed under the name Legionella pneumophila subsp. pneumophila str. Philadelphia 1. Its description in RNAcentral is "Rickettsia sRNA47". It matches the Rfam family "Rickettsia sRNA47". The record is from Rfam by way of RNAcentral. Lineage: Bacteria; Pseudomonadati; Pseudomonadota; Gammaproteobacteria; Legionellales; Legionellaceae.